UAUAUUCUCCCUCUGUUCCGAAUUACUUGUCGCAUGUAUGGACGUAUCUAGAUGUAUUUUAGUUCUAGAUACAUCCAUUUCUGCGACGAGUAAUUUGGAAUGGAGGGAGUAGGAA
Molecule: non-coding RNA, 115 nt
Organism: Triticum aestivum (bread wheat)
Lineage: Eukaryota; Viridiplantae; Streptophyta; Magnoliopsida; Poales; Poaceae
Source: Rfam